Molecule: ribosomal RNA, 497 nt
Filed under: uncultured bacterium
Lineage: Bacteria
Description: partial 16S ribosomal RNA
Rfam family: Bacterial small subunit ribosomal RNA
Source: RNAcentral
GAUGAACGCUGGCGGCGUGCCUAAUACAUGCAAGUCGAGCGAACAGAUAAGGAGCUUGCUCCUUUGACGUUAGCGGCGGACGGGUGAGUAACACGUGGGUAACCUACCUAUAAGGCUGGAAUAACUCCGGGAAACCGGGGCUAAUGCCGGAUAACAUUUAGAACCGCAUGGUUCUAAAGUGAAAGAUGGUUUUGCUAUCACUUAUAGAUGGACCCGCGCCGUAUUAGCUAGUUGGUAAGGUAACGGCUUACCAAGGCAACGAUACGUAGCCGACCUGAGAGGGUGAUCGGCCACACUGGAACUGAGACACGGUCCAGACUCCUACGGGGGGCAGCAGUAGGGAAUCUUCCGCAAUGGGCGAAAGCCUGACGGAGCAACGCCGCGUGAGUGAUGAAGGUCUUCGGAUCGUAAAACUCUGUUAUUAGGGAAGAACAAAUGUGUAAGUAACUGUGCACGUCUUGACGGUACCUAAUCAGAAAGCCACGGCUAACUACGUG